UACGUAGGGUGCGAGCGUUGUCCGGAAUUAUUGGGCGUAAAGAGCUUGUAGGCGGUCUGUCGCGUCUGCUGUGAAAAUCCGGGGCUCAACCCCGGACUUGCAGUGGGUACGGGCAGACUAGAGUGUGGUAGGGGAGACUGGAAUUCCUGGUGUAGCGGUGAAAUGCGCAGAUAUCAGGAGGAACACCGAUGGCGAAGGCAGCUCGCUGGGACGGUACUGACGCUGAGGCGCGAAAGCGUGGGGAGCAAACAGG
This 253-nucleotide ribosomal RNA is filed under the name uncultured bacterium. Its description in RNAcentral is "partial 16S ribosomal RNA". It matches the Rfam family "Bacterial small subunit ribosomal RNA", at positions 524 to 776 of the family's 1533-position model. The record is from RNAcentral.